ACUCUAGUAUUAACAUUAAUCCACAUGUGUUGAGAUGGAUUGAAGUGUAAAUUAGUUUAAGUUACACUCCAAUCCAUCCGAUUACAUGUGGAUUAUGGUUAAUACUAGA
Zea mays is the source of this 109-nucleotide non-coding RNA. NCBI's taxonomy places the organism in Eukaryota, Viridiplantae, Streptophyta, Magnoliopsida, Poales, Poaceae. The record is from Rfam.